RNAcentral lists this ribosomal RNA (482 nucleotides) under uncultured Saprospiraceae bacterium. Its description in RNAcentral is "bacterial SSU rRNA". It matches the Rfam family "Bacterial small subunit ribosomal RNA", at positions 28 to 505 of the family's 1533-position model. Lineage: Bacteria; Pseudomonadati; Bacteroidota; Saprospiria; Saprospirales; Saprospiraceae. The record is from RNAcentral.
GAUGAACGCUAGCGGGAGGCUUAAUACAUGCAAGUCGAGGGGUAACGAUAGAGCUUGCUCUAGGCGACGACCGGCGAACGGGUGAGUAACGCGUACACAACCUACCUUCAAGAGGGGGAUAGCCCUGGGAAACUGGGAGUAAUACCCCAUAGUAUUACUUAAUUAUAUGAUAUAGUAAUUAAAGUUCCGGCGCUUGAAGAUGGGUGUGCGUCCCAUUAGCUAGUUGGUGAGGUAACGGCUCACCAAGGCGACGAUGGGUAGGGGGCGUGAGAGCGUGGUCCCCCACACGGGUACUGAGACACGGACCCGACUCCUACGGGAGGCAGCAGUAAGGAAUAUUGGACAAUGGGCGAAAGCCUGAUCCAGCCAUCCCGCGUGCAGGAUGAAUGCCCUAUGGGUUGUAAACUGCUUUUAGAUAGGAAGAAACCCCAUUAUUCAUAAUGGGCUGACGGUACUAUCAGAAUAAGCACCGGCUAACUCCG